CCUAUCUGGUUGAUCCUGCCAGUAGUCAUAUGCUUGUCUCAAAGAUUAAGCCAUGCAUGUCUAAGUCCAAGCUGUGUUUACACGGCGAGACCGCGGACGGCUCAUUAAAUCAGUCGUUGUCCAAAUGGGCAAGUGAUCUUUACUUGGAUAACUGUGGUAAUUCCACAGAGCUAAUACAUGCAACCUAUGCUCUGACGCGCUGGCUCUCUGAGUCUCGCUGACGAGUGCUUUUAUUAGACCAAACUGCUGGGGCUCCCUGGUGAUGCCUUCUGGUUUUUGCCAGGGACCUGAUUGCUCUGUGGUGACUCUGGAUAACCUGUUUUUUGACAAGCGCACGUACCUCCACGAGGACGGCGCUGCCACUUUCGAGUGUCUGCUUUAUCAGCUUUCAAUCGCUCGUUAUACGCGACCGAUGGCUUUGACGGGUAACGGGGAAUCAGGGUUCGAUUCCGGAGAGGCAGCCUGAGAGACGGCUACCACGUCCAAGGACGGCAGCAGGCACGCAAAUUACCCAAUCCCAGCACAUUUGGGGGAGGUAGUGACGAAACAUAACGAAGCGUGCGCCCUUUACGGGUCUCGCUAUCGGAAUGAGCACUUCUCUAAACACUCUGUUGAGAACCUACUGAAGGGCAAGUCUGGUGCCAGCAGCCGCGGUAAUUCCAGCUUCAGUAGCAUAUAUUAAAGUUGCUGCGGUUAAAAGGCUCGUAGUUGAAUGUCUGUUCCGGGUUGCGGGUGGAGGACGUUGGUGUUGUGUUGUUGUUACCCAUCGCGGCGCACGCACGCUCCCGUCCGUUACAAUCCUCCGCGCCCGCGUACAAAAGGGCACAGUGGCUUCACCCGCUUGCGGGAGUACGCCUCCGUGCCAAUGUCACCCCUGAGUAAAUCAGAGUGCUCAAAGCAGUCGUAAAGGGGUUCGCCCUGUUAACAGACGGCGUGAGGGGCUCCGUGUGCUUCGCGGCCACGGUCUUCCGCGCUCAGAGGACCGACUUGAUUUUGCAUGGUAUGUCGGAAUACGACGUCGGGCGCUGGCUAACGGUCGUAGCAGUGGUAUAAGCCAGCCUCGACGUACUGAUUAAAAGGGCUUGUCGAGGGCAUUGGUAUUGCGAAGCGAGAGGUGAAAUUCUAUGACCUUCGCAAGACCUCCUGAAGCGAAAGCGUCUGCCAAGGAUGUUUUCAUUAAUCAUGAACGAAAGUUAGAGGAUCGAAGGCGAUCAGAUACCGCCCUAGUUCUAACCCUAAACGAUGCCAACCAUCAAUCCGCCUGGUACCCUUUUUAACGGGCCAGGCGGGCGGCUCCUAUCUUACGGGAAACCAGAGUCUUUGGGUUCCGGGGGGAGUCUGGUUGCAAAGCUGAAACUUAAAGGAAUUGACGGAAAGGCACCACCAGGCGUGGAGCCUGCGGCUUAAUUUGACUCAACACGGGCAAUCUCACCAGGCCAGGACUCUAGCAUGAUUGACAGAUUGAGAGCUCUUUCUCGAUUCAGUGGAUGGUGGUGCAUGGCCGUUCUUAGUUGGUGGAGUGAUCUGUCUGGUUAAUUCCGAUAACGAACGAGACUCUCCCCUGCUAACUAGUCGGCUGGAUCUUUAUUUGCGGGUUAGCAGUUCGGAGGAAUUUUCUGGGCCCCGGCGAAGGCGUGCUUGAUGGUUGGUGCCGUCCCUCACGGGUUCUGUGCGCUUUCCUCGGGUCGUUCGAGCUGGGUGUACCGGUGGUUCUCUCCCUGCGCCCAAAGUCCGCCGGCCAUUUAUGGUCUAUAAGAUUUCUUCUUAGAGGGAUAAACGGCUCUGAAGCCGUCAGAGACUGAGAGCAAUAACAGGUCUGUGAUGCCCUUAGAUGCUCUGGGCCGCACGCGCGCUACAAUGCUGGACACAGCAGGUUCUUUGUCCAGCUUCGAGAGAAGCGGGUAACCCUCUGAAAGUCCUUCAACAUUUCUUCUCCUCUCGUUGGUCUUGUCUUCGGACUUUGCCGCGAGGGAGAGCAGCGUGCUUGGGCCUGGGGUUUGCAACUAUCCCCCACAAACGAGGAAUGCCUAGUAGCGGCGGGUCACUGAGCCCGCCGUGACUGAGUCCCUGCCCUUUGUACACACCGCCCGUCGCUACUACCGAUUGGGUGUUCCAGUGAGAACCUUGGACUGGCGGACGCCCCCUAAAAGGUGGUAUCACGACUGAAAGAGGUUCGAACUGGUGCACUUAGAGGAAGUAAAAGUCGUAACAAGGUUUCCGUAGUGAACCUGCGGAAGGAUCAUUA
Molecule: ribosomal RNA, 2245 nt
Filed under: Pseudoprotella phasma
Lineage: Eukaryota; Metazoa; Arthropoda; Malacostraca; Amphipoda; Caprellidae
Description: bacterial SSU rRNA
Rfam family: Eukaryotic small subunit ribosomal RNA
Source: RNAcentral